RNAcentral lists this ribosomal RNA (445 nucleotides) under uncultured bacterium. RNAcentral's name for it is "bacterial SSU rRNA". It matches the Rfam family "Bacterial small subunit ribosomal RNA", at positions 9 to 456 of the family's 1533-position model. The record is from RNAcentral.
GAGUUUGAUCAUGGCUCAGAUUGAACGCUGGCGGCAUGCUUUACACAUGCAAGUCGAACGGUAACAGGGAGCUUGCUCCGCUGACGAGUGGCGAACGGGUGAGUAAUGCGUCGGAACGUGCCGAGUAGUGGGGGAUAACGCAUCGAAAGGUGUGCUAAUACCGCAUACGAACUGAGGUUGAAAGUGGGGGACCUUCGGGCCUCACGCUAUUCGAGCGGCCGACGUCUGAUUAGCUAGUAGGUGAGGUAAAGGCUCACCUAGGCGACGAUCAGUAGCGGGUCUGAGAGGAUGAUCCGCCACACUGGGACUGAGACACGGCCCAGACUCCUACGGGAGGCAGCAGUGGGGAAUUUUGGACAAUGGGCGCAAGCCUGAUCCAGCCAUGCCGCGUGUCUGAAGAAGGCCUUCGGGUUGUAAAGGACUUUUGUCUGGGAGCAAAUACCCG